GAAAGUGAACAUGCCCUCAAAGGAAAUUUCGGCAAAGUUUCCUCUAUUUCUAAGGACAUCCACGACAUGCAAUUCAUAUAAUUAUAUAACACAAGGAACAUAACAUAAGUGUAGAGCACCAAGCUACACUACCAUAACCGAGAACACCAGCGGUAACAUAAGACUUAGGGAGAGCUGAUUAAGACACACAAACGAAAAGGGCAACUUCCAAACUUCAGGACAAACCACCAAGCUUAGCAAAGUAUAAACUAUACUAGGUUCUCAAAACAUGGUCCUAAAGUACAAUAUAUGUGAGUUUCGUGUAGUGAACAGGGUGGUGAUGCUACUCCCAAGACUCCCAUGCAUGUCGUCCUCAGGGUUUACCUAAAAACAUAAACAACAAGGAUGAGUACAAAGACUCAGCAAGUACAUACAAGAAUAAUAAGCGUUACACAUGUCAAGAUACCAAAUCUCUACUAAACACCAUACCCUCAUCAGCACCCAACACUAGUAUUCAUGUCCUACAUGCCUACAUGCUCAUCUCAUUCAUUGCGUAUACCGGUAUCGCUUGAGUGGACGCCCGUCGACAUCCACUCACUCCAACGCAUGGAGGUUGCCUCCAAAGUAGGUCGCAACCCAACAAUGGAGGUCUCAAUGUGCCUACCCAAGGUAGGGACCUCUUUCUUUCACUAUCAUCAUGAGUGCAGAUAUGCAAAUGCAAGCAAAGUACUUGAAUCAACAUGUCUUUGUCAUCGUCAUCUCCAUCAUAAUAAACAUCAUUGACAUGGGCAAAUAUCAUGAUACAAAAAGGGCAGGGGAUAUGCAACGUCAUUAUCCUGUCAUGAACUUGCCUCAACCGCGAGGCACAACUUGUGGGUUAAAGGAUCCUGAACCAGAAGUACCAACACCUGUAAACAGGCAUAUAUCACAACCAAUACAAAAACAUGGACUUAUCAUCUAAGCAUAUAUAAUUCAGCUUCGCUCCUACGCAUAAGACCCCAGUGCAUAUCGAUCAACAUUGACGAAAUCUGAGAAUAUAUACUUGUUCCUCCACCCAAGUCCAUAUAUUAAAGUUCUGUCCAACAUAGUACAGCCCACCUUGAUAAUUUCAUAGGAUUUAAUAUACCAAACGAAAUCUAAUAAAUGAUAUGUGUUUAAGCAUCUACAGAACAGCCUGUACAAUUGUCAUGUUGUAACUUUAAUUUAAUUCAAUCUGUAACAUAGCCUAAUUUGCCAUAUGAGAAUUCUGCACCCACGAAAAUAUAUUUCCGGACAGAAAACUAAAUUGAUGGCUGCUCUCAAAUCGUACAUCCAAACGAAGCAAAUAAGUACUCUACGGAAACCUUAGAACUUGCUUUACAAAUCAUAUAAAGGGACCAACUCGAAAUUCUGAGCAUAACUAACUCGUUUUUCACCUAGAAGCUGGCUGUCCAGAUCUGACAGUGCAGUUUUUCUGCAGUUUAUGUGCAGUUUUAACCGAACCAAGUUCAGUUUACAGGGAGAGAUACCCAACGCUCCAGAUUUUUGCUUGGAAGCAAUCAACACCAUGCAACAUCAUAGAUGGGCUAUCCUCCCUAAUUGAUUUGGUUAAUCAAAGGAACCAACAUAGGGAAGGUCCAGCCUGGGUGCCAAAACAAAAUAGGUACAAAUAUUGAAUCACCAACAAAAUUGUGAAUUGGUUCAUGAAUCCACCUCCAGUCCUCAAAUCUACUUCUAACAUAUGAGUUGCUGCCCCAAAUCCCUAAUUCUGACCUAGGAAGCACCAUAGAAAAGGAGAACUGGGACGUACCGCUAGCAACAACGACGCCCAGCAGCCAGCACUGCCCGGCAACGACCACGGAGAGGAGAGGCGUCGGGGACAGCAGCAACCUCACGGGUCACGGCGGGGGUAGCCACCAGCAGCAGCGACGGCAGUAGCCUUUGUUGGGAAGACCAGAGGAAGGCUUUGGUGAGGGGAAUAGAAGAAAAACAGGGUUUGAGCACAGCCUACAGCGGCGCAAGGAGCGACCGAGGGCCACCCCUUGUCUGAC
Molecule: long non-coding RNA, 2009 nt
Filed under: Triticum aestivum (bread wheat)
Lineage: Eukaryota; Viridiplantae; Streptophyta; Magnoliopsida; Poales; Poaceae
Description: long non-coding RNA (TAES_LNC018205)
Source: RNAcentral